AAUUUGAAAUCUGGCCCCUCCGGGGUCCGAGUUGUAAUUUGCAGAGGGUGCUUCGGGCGCGGUCGCGGUCUAAGUCCAUUGGAACAUGGCGUCGUAGAGGGUGAGAAUCCCGUAUGCGACCGGGGGACCGAGCCCAUGUGAAGCCUCUUCGACGAGUCGAGUUGUUUGGGAAUGCAGCUCAAAAUGGGUGGUAUAUUUCAUCUAAAGCUAAAUAUUGGCUGGAGACCGAUAGCGCACAAGUAGAGUGAUCGAAAGAUGAAAAGCACUUUGGAAAGAGAGUCAAACAGUACGUGAAAUUGUUGAAAGGGAAGCGCAUGCCCCCAGACCUGCCCGGGGACGAUCAGCCGGCUGUUCUCAGCGGUGCACUCGCCCCCGCGGUCAGGCCAGCAUCGGUUUCGGCGGUCGGACAAAGGCCCCGGGAAUGUAGCUCCCCCCGGGGAGUCUUAUAGCCCGGGGCGCAAUGCGGCCAGCCGGGACCGAGGACCGCGCUUCGGCUAGGAUGCUGGCGUAAUGGCGGUACGCGACCCGUCUUGAAACACGGACCAAGGAGUCUAACAUCUAUGCGAGUGUUUGGGCGUCAAACCCAUGCGCGGAAUGAAAGUGAACGGAGGUGAGAACCCCCCCGGGGGCGCAUCAUCGACCGAUCCAGAUGUCUUCGGAUGGAUUUGAGUAUGAGCAUGGCCGUUGGGACCCGAA
RNAcentral lists this ribosomal RNA (696 nucleotides) under Oropogon secalonicus. RNAcentral describes it as "eukaryotic LSU rRNA". It matches the Rfam family "Eukaryotic large subunit ribosomal RNA", at positions 112 to 820 of the family's 3401-position model. The record is from RNAcentral. Lineage: Eukaryota; Fungi; Ascomycota; Lecanoromycetes; Lecanorales; Parmeliaceae.